CCUCUUGUUUUGUCAGCGCUCGCCCAUCCAGCAGAAACGGCUCCAGGGCUUCAGCUUCCUCGCAUUCCCGGAAGCUGGACCGAAGCAGUUGAGCCAAUUUGCGUCUUCGCUUCUCGUCUCCGUCCGCGGCUAAGAAGCUAACCGACAAACGCUAGUCCCUCAGACGGUCAGGAGAGAGGAAAAACCGAGCUGGCUCUGUGGCGGCGAGUGGUCAACAAACCCUGAUUGGACUGCUGGCCUUUGAACUGCACAACAGGAAUGCAGCUGCUCUCUGCUGGAGUCUGUUGUCUUGACUCAUUUAGGUCGCGACUCACUGAAGGCCUUCCUUUUCCCAUAAACCAUUGAAGUAAACUGUGAAUGUGUAUCACUACACAAUCUGAGGAUGCGGCUGUGGUUAAGGCCGAGUUCACGGGUCAGCUGAGGUUCUACACUCGGGCUCUAAUGGACUCUAAUGAAGAUAUCUCUUUAGAUAAAUGGAUUGGAGAGCUGUUUCCAACAGCAGUAACACAACCUCUCCUACCCUUUACUUUUAAAGUCUGCUAAUCCGCCUCUCUGUGGUUAAAGGCAGUGAAGGCCUUGUAUUCAGGCUUGAGCUAAUUGAGGACACAAAUGGGCCUUGGAGUUCUCAUGCUGUGUUCUACACUGUUGCAUUGAUGUGUUGGUGUUAGGGUUAUGGGACGGACACCAUUGUAUGCAGGAUAGUGAGUGUGUAAGAAUGACAAGGCAUGUUUGGUCGCUUGAUGGAGGUCAAACCUCUUUUUAUCUUUUUAUCUCAAUAACAGCACUUUUCUUCUGAAUGGAGAAUGCGAGAGGUGCAAAGGUGAAUGUAAAGGAUGAGUGUGAGAGAUUAAUAAAAUGGAGGGAGGGAGACGAGAGAAAAGAGGAGGAAGAGAUGAAACAGGCUGUAUUGACAUCUGUGAGAAAAAAAGAGAGUGAAGGGCCAGAGCAUGAUCUCUUUAUACGACUCGUGGGGGCAACGUAUUUAAAUGAGAAACGGAUGUUUGGAGUAAAUGAGUUGACCUUAACCCUGUGGGUCAGUGCCCUGUUUGUGUGUGUGUGUGUGUGUUUGAAAGAGAGAGAGAGUAAGUAUGCUUUAGAACCAGGGGGUCCGUAUUAAUCCAUUGCCCACCCUGUGAUUGACAGCCUCUGUCAUUGUUUCCCAACACUGAGGAUUUUUCCCAGGCAUUUGAGAAUCACCAAACUCCUCACAUUCAACAGAUGCUGGAGCUUUAUGGCACCUCGUUUUCCCAGCACUCUUUUUCAAUUUGCUCCCUUGCUUAGCUUACUCAUGCACUUGGGCUGUAUUCUUUACCUCAAACAUAUGCAUGUAUUAUAUGCAGUUGUAUGCAAAAAAUUUAAUAUUUCCUGGCCACUUAUGUUUUGUUGAUUUUCUAGGUGAAAAUAUGUUGACAUCUCCUACAUAGAACAAACUUAUAGCAUUUUUCUGCAAAUUUUAUUGCACAAUUUCUAUUAAUUUGCUGAGCUGAACAUAAAAUACAAAAGGUGCCAUAACUUUUGCACAGGCCAGAUAUUGUGUUUUAUUUUUUCCCCAAUAUGUUAAAUUCAUCAAAUAAGCAGUAGUUGUGUUCUCUGUAGAGGAUGUGUUAACUUAUUUUCAUAGAUGUAUUACAUAUAUAUUCAUAAGGCAUGUAAUGAUACAACAAUUUCAUGGUACAAUAUGUAUUGUGGAGUUUACACUAUAAUACAAUAUAGUUUUGAUACAGAAGUAAAAACUUUUUUUAUUAUUGGCAAACAUGCUAACAUUUUUUUAUUCAAUUUACUUCAAUUUUCAGAGAAGACAAAUACAUUUAAACGCAUGUUUUAGUAAUAUUCAAAUUUGACAUUAUUCAAAAAAUAUUCAAAUAAUACCCCAACACAAAAAAAAAGAAGAAGCAUAGGAAUCUAAGGCUACCACUCAGCAUUGCCACUUAGCAUUUCAAUACUACUGUACUGUAUUAAACCCAGACCCAGAAAUUUACACCAAGAAAGGCAGCCAAUCUUAAGCAUUUAAGACAAACAGACACAUUUUAAUCAUCUGUUUUUACCUCAUCUGAUAUUAUUAGCCACUUCAUACCUCACAGCUGAAAAACAGUGAGUUUAUGAAGAGUUAGUUAGCUGAUUCCAAAAGUAAUAAAUAUACUAAAUGAUGUUCACUAGAUGCACUAGAUGAUUCUUAGAAGAGAUCUUUGUAUACUGAACAAAAAUCUAAAUGCUCCCAUUUUGCAAUAGUUUGACCAAAAAAAAUCCAGAAUUUUUUCCUAGAAAUGCGUCACACUGCUACAGGCUCUUGGUGGUCACACCAGAUACUAAUAUGGGAAUUCUGUCUCUCAACCCACCCUGUUUUUUGCAGGGUUUUAGUAUUUUUUUUCUCAGUAAAAUGUGCUGCGUUUUAUCAUUCAGUAUAAAUGUGAGUGUUCAAAAGUUUUAACCCUCAUAUUGUGUUGAAAAAAAGAAUACGUCAAUCAUGUUAUCGUCUCAGGACAAUCAGAACCAGUCAUAACAACAGAAUAUAUCAAAGACAUGUUUUUAAUUUAGGUCUGUGAAACCAUCUGUACCUGAAAGCAUGAGGGUCAAAAUGACCCACAACAUCAUCUUUGUAUACGGAUUUUGUAUAGACCUUCCACAACACAGAUCAGUCUGAUUGUACUUCAUGACCCUAAAUAAGGAAAAGUUAAUGGAGAAAAGCAGAGGGUAAACUCAAAAGGUGGAAAGAGGUCAAAUUGACCCACAACAUAACAGGAGGGUUAAAUGACCUCCACAUAAUAUAAACACUGUCACAUUUGAAAUAUUUUUCUUUUAUAUAAUUAUACUUUUUUAAUGAGUUUAGUUGGAAUUAUCAUACACUUGCAAUUAUAUUGACUGUUAUUCUGUUAUUUCUCGCUGUAUGCGUGAGCCUAUUUGACAUAAUUUCUGAUCAUUGAGAAUAAUUGCUGUGUGCUGAGGAUUCAGCCAUCGAGGAUCAUGAUGAUCAGUGCUCUACAUGCAGCCAAACAGCUCGCCCAACCCUCUGAUCUGCUUUAUCAGGCAGGGCAAGCUCAGGCUAGUGCCGCAGUUCAGCACACCCUCCUAACCCCUGCAUUCACACGCUUCAACAACAGCGCAGGCCGUCCUUUGACCCCUGGGGGUGUGACACUCAACCUUUGCCUCAACCUUCUGACCAGCGCUCACAGCUGCAGCCGACGGCCCGAGGCUGGGGGGCCCUGAGAAAAGGUGGAUUCAGUAAGAGGAGGACAUAAAUGGCCAAGCUGAAUCCUCCGGCCUCGGCCUCUUUUGUCCUUCUUUUGUUUGGCCGGACUGAAGAGCCACAUCUUCACGGGGAACGUGGCUUUUGCAUGAAGGAAAGAAAAAUACAUGACCUCUGGUAAACGCUGCUCCCCUUACCCGUGAUCAGUGUUCUUGUUAGUGUUUCCUCAAAGACUUCUUUAAAUGAGCAGGAUUAUAUGCCUCUAAUAAUAUAGUGACAGGAUUUGAGAAAAGAGCACUCAUCAGCAAUUAGGCUGUCUAAACAGAGACUUUUAAAGGGAUUUUUAAAGUCUAGCAAACUGUUUUGACUAAACAUCUUAAAGGUAUAGUCAAUUUUUUUUUCUUUCAAAUGUAGUCAAUUAGUAAUCUCAAAUAGUCUUGCUGAUGUGGUUUUUGACGCUGUAUUAUAUCUAUAAAAUGGAUAUAAGUGUGUUGCAUAGCUAAAAACAGGAUAGCAGCUGUCUUGAAGCCUGAAAGUUCACAUGGGAGAUUAGCUGUCAUUACCUGUUAGCUACAAAUUGAAUAAUUUUAAAAACAGUUUUCAAAUUGAAUAUAUAGACCUUUUUAAUUCAUCCAAAUUAGUUCAAAUUGUUAUCCCACAGUAAAAAAAAAUUAUUUACAAAAACAAUCAAGUAUUCAUACCCUAGAUAUGUACAAGGAUUAUGUUAUGAUCUACUUAAACUCAAGGCAUUAAUAGAGAUAGUCAUAAGCGAAGUGUAUACAAAAUCAUCAUUUAUGUAGUACUUUCUAUUGGAAGAUAGCUGUCCCAAACAUUUCCUCUUGUGAAAAUUAUACUUACAUAUACUUAAAUCAAACCUUUCUAUGUUUUAAUGGAAAAUAUGAUGAUUUUAUGUGUGUACAACUGUUUAAAGCUGUGUUUGCUAGUCAUGUACUGGUUAGCUUUUUUGAGUUGAAUUUUUCACUAACAAAACAGUCACUACUUAAGCAUUUGGUAAAGAUUAGGUGGUGUUUUUACUGUUGUAUUAGUGACAUGUUUUUCAAUCAUUUGUUUCAAUGAAAUAAACAUAAUUAAGAUAUAAGGUCACUUGAACUCUGACUUAGAACCGGUUUGGUAGAAUGAUCCAUAU
Molecule: long non-coding RNA, 4331 nt
Organism: Colossoma macropomum (tambaqui)
Lineage: Eukaryota; Metazoa; Chordata; Actinopteri; Characiformes; Serrasalmidae
Exons: 3
Source: RefSeq, a predicted model, not a curated record